RNAcentral lists this ribosomal RNA (371 nucleotides) under uncultured organism. RNAcentral describes it as "bacterial SSU rRNA". It matches the Rfam family "Bacterial small subunit ribosomal RNA", at positions 527 to 896 of the family's 1533-position model. The record is from RNAcentral.
CGGGGGGGCAAGCGUUGUUCGGAAUUACUGGGCGUAAAGGGCUCGUAGGCGGCCAUCUAAGUCGGAUGUGAAAUCCCCAGGCUCAACUUGGGAACUGCAUCCGAUACUGGAUGGCUUGAAUCCGGGAGAGGGAUGCAGAAUUCCAGGUGUAGCGGUGAAAUGCGUAGAUAUCUGGAGGAAUACCGGUGGCGAAGGCGGCAUCCUGGACCGGCAUUGACGCUCAUGAGCGAAAGCUAGGGGAGCAAACGGGAUUAGAUACCCCGGUAGUCCUAGCCCUAAACGAUGAAUGCUUGGUGUGGCGGGUAUCGAUCCCUGCCGUGCCGAAGCUAACGCAUUAAGCAUUCCGCCUGGGGAGUACGGUCGCAAGGCUG